This 1089-nucleotide ribosomal RNA is filed under the name Salmonella enterica subsp. enterica serovar Infantis. Its description in RNAcentral is "partial 23S ribosomal RNA". It matches the Rfam family "Bacterial large subunit ribosomal RNA", at positions 711 to 1790 of the family's 2925-position model. The record is from RNAcentral. Lineage: Bacteria; Pseudomonadati; Pseudomonadota; Gammaproteobacteria; Enterobacterales; Enterobacteriaceae. RNAcentral also lists the same sequence under 1 other name.
AGACCCGAAACCCGGUGAUCUAGCCAUGGGCAGGUUGAAGGUUGGGUAACACUAACUGGAGGACCGAACCGACUAAUGUUGAAAAAUUAGCGGAUGACCUGUGGCUGGGGGUGAAAGGCCAAUCAAACCGGGAGAUAGCUGGUUCUCCCCGAAAGCUAUUUAGGUAGCGCCUCGUGAAUUCAUCUCCGGGGGUAGAGCACUGUUUCGGCUAGGGGGCCAUCCCGGCUUACCAACCCGAUGCAAACUGCGAAUACCGGAGAAUGUUAUCACGGGAGACACACGGCGGGUGCUAACGUCCGUCGUGAAGAGGGAAACAACCCAGACCGCCAGCUAAGGUCCCAAAGUCAUGGUUAAGUGGGAAACGAUGUGGGAAGGCCCAGACAGCCAGGAUGUUGGCUUAGAAGCAGCCAUCAUUUAAAGAAAGCGUAAUAGCUCACUGGUCGAGUCGGCCUGCGCGGAAGAUGUAACGGGGCUAAACCAUGCACCGAAGCUGCGGCAGCGACACUCAGGUGUUGUUGGGUAGGGGAGCGUUCUGUAAGCCUGCGAAGGUGGCCUGUGAGGGUUGCUGGAGGUAUCAGAAGUGCGAAUGCUGACAUAAGUAACGAUAAAGCGGGUGAAAAGCCCGCUCGCCGGAAGACCAAGGGUUCCUGUCCAACGUUAAUCGGGGCAGGGUGAGUCGACCCCUAAGGCGAGGCCGAAAGGCGUAGUCGAUGGGAAACGGGUUAAUAUUCCCGUACUUGGUGUUACUGCGAAGGGGGGACGGAGAAGGCUAUGUUGGCCGGGCGACGGUUGUCCCGGUUUAAGCGUGUAGGUGUGUGUUCCAGGUAAAUCCGGUUCACUUUAACACUGAGGCGUGAUGACGAGGCACUACGGUGCUGAAGCAACAAAUGCCCUGCUUCCAGGAAAAGCCUCUAAGCAUCAGGUAACAUCAAAUCGUACCCCAAACCGACACAGGUGGUCAGGUAGAGAAUACCAAGGCGCUUGAGAGAACUCGGGUGAAGGAACUAGGCAAAAUGGUGCCGUAACUUCGGGAGAAGGCACGCUGACAUGUAGGUGAAGUGAUUUACUCAUGGAGCUGAAGUCAGUCGA